AUACAAGAUGGUGUUUCACUUUCGCAUGUUAUUGAAACUAAAGAUUUAUCGGUAUCGGAUGGGGAUGCGUGACAUUAGAUAGUAGGCGGGGUAACGGCCCACCAAGUCUACGAUGUCUAGGGGUUCUGAGAGGAAGGUCCCCCACACUGGAACUGAGACACGGUCCAGACUCCUACGGGAGGCAGCAGUGAGGAAUAUUGGUCAAUGGUCGGAAGACUGAACCAGCCAUGCCGCGUGCAGGAUGACGGCUCUAUGAGUUGUAAACUGCUUUUGUAUGAGGG
This 281-nucleotide ribosomal RNA is filed under the name Weissella confusa. RNAcentral's name for it is "partial 16S ribosomal RNA". It matches the Rfam family "Bacterial small subunit ribosomal RNA", at positions 166 to 446 of the family's 1533-position model. The record is from RNAcentral. Lineage: Bacteria; Bacillati; Bacillota; Bacilli; Lactobacillales; Lactobacillaceae.